ACGGGUGAGUAACACGUAGGCAACCUGCCUUUGGGAUCGGGAUAACUACCGGAAACGGUAGCUAAGACCGGAUAGCUGGUUUGGACGCAUGUCCGGAUCAUGAAACACGGAGCAAUCUGUGACCUGAAGAUGGGCCUGCGGCGCAUUAACUAGUUGGUAGGGUAACGGCCUACCAAGGCGACGAUGCGUAGCCGACCUGAGAGGGUGAUCGGCCACACUGGGACUGAGACACGGCCCAGACUCCUACGGGAGGCAGCAGUAGGGAAUCUUCCGCAAUGGACGCAAGUCUGACGGAGCAACGCCGCGUGAGUGAUGAAGGUUUUCGGAUCGUAAAGCUCUGUUGCCAGGGAAGAAAUUUCAGGAGAGUAACUGCUCCUGGAUUGACGGUACCUGAGAAGAAAGCCCCGGCUAACUACGUGCCAGCAGCCGCGGUAAUACGUAGGGGGCAAGCGUUGUCCGGAAUUAUUGGGCGUAAAGCGCGCGCAGGCGGUUAUUUAAGUUUGGUGUUUAAGCCCGGGGCUCAACCCCGGAUCGCAUCGAAAACUGGAUGACUUGAGUGCGGGAGAGGAAAGUGGAAUUCCACGUGUA
RNAcentral lists this ribosomal RNA (588 nucleotides) under uncultured bacterium. RNAcentral's name for it is "bacterial SSU rRNA". It matches the Rfam family "Bacterial small subunit ribosomal RNA", at positions 102 to 677 of the family's 1533-position model. The record is from RNAcentral.